This 77-nucleotide transfer RNA is filed under the name Deltaproteobacteria bacterium. Its description in RNAcentral is "tRNA-Ala". It matches the Rfam family "tRNA". Rfam says of the family: Transfer RNA (tRNA) molecules are approximately 80 nucleotides in length. Their secondary structure includes four short double-helical elements and three loops (D, anti-codon, and T loops). Lineage: Bacteria; Pseudomonadati; Myxococcota; Myxococcia. The record is from RNAcentral.
GGGGGAUUAGCUCAGCUGGCUAGAGCGCCUGCCUUGCAAGCAGGAGGUCAGCGGUUCGAAAACGCUAUCCUCCACCA